RNAcentral lists this transfer-messenger RNA (396 nucleotides) under Anaerolineales. RNAcentral describes it as "Desulfolinea sp018645405 Standard tmRNA". It matches the Rfam family "transfer-messenger RNA". Rfam says of the family: Bacterial tmRNA, also known as 10Sa RNA or SsrA, is named for its dual tRNA and mRNA-like properties. RNAcentral also lists the same sequence under 1 other name. Lineage: Bacteria; Bacillati; Chloroflexota; Anaerolineae. The record is from RNAcentral.
GGGGAUGACAGGCUUCGACGGAGGAGGCUGAUCCCGAAUUGCGAGCCGAGAGGCGCCGAUGCUCGUAAACUCAGCGCAAAAAUUAAGUGCCAAACGCACACCUUACGCUGCUAUGCCCCUCGCUGCAUAAGCGAUAGUAUAGUAGUCCGGUCUCAAAGCAGACCGCGUCCCCCUUUACCCUUCUCCGUUGGGUCAUAGAAUCGGGCGACGCAAAAGCGGAGUGCCACAUACGACGCCGCUAAAUAUGUGAAAGAGGGCUUUCGGGUCCGAGUGGCUGACUGGAGAAAUUUCCUGCUGAUUGAGAAUUCUCCAGUGACGUUCAUCAAUCAGCUACGCUCGUAGAUAUUCGAGGCUCGAAUUUUUCGGACGCGGGUUCGAUUCCCGCCAUCUCCACAA